UACGUAGGGUGCGAGCGUUAAUCGGAAUUACUGGGCGUAAAGCGUGCGCAGGCGGUUCGUCGCGUCCGAUGUGAAAGCCCCGGGCUCAACCUGGGAAUGGCAUUGGAAACUGGCGGGCUUGAGUGUGGCAGAGGGGGGUGGAAUUCCGCGUGUAGCAGUGAAAUGCGUAGAGAUGCGGAGGAACACCGAUGGCGAAGGCAGCCCCCUGGGCUGACACUGACGCUCAGGCACGAAAGCGUGGGGAGCGAACAGG
RNAcentral lists this ribosomal RNA (253 nucleotides) under uncultured bacterium. Its description in RNAcentral is "partial 16S ribosomal RNA". It matches the Rfam family "Bacterial small subunit ribosomal RNA", at positions 524 to 776 of the family's 1533-position model. The record is from RNAcentral.